CUCACAAAAAGUUUGAGUUUUUUUCACAUCUCCACUAAUGGCACUGAAAGACGAAAGGCAAAUGCCAAAUAGGGAGACCGAGAGCAGUGUGUGUGGGUAUGCUGGGCAGGGGGCUGCUUGGGCCUUAUCAGUGACAUUCCUGACAAGACUAGGGCUCCCCUGCCUGCGAGCUGGGCCUCUGGGACAGCCAUGUGGAUCAUGGAUGGGGAAGGGUUUUGGAGCCAGCCAGACCUGGGUGUGAAUUCUAGCUCCACAGACCAGUAAACCUUGGAAAAUCACUUAUCCUCUCUGUUGUCCCAGUUUUCCCACUUGUGAUAAACAUAACAACAUUAACAGCUAGGAAAAUAGAAUUCAUUUUCCAUGAAUCUGACAUACAUUAUCUCACCUAAUCCUUGCAAGCAAAUCCAGGAAGAGAGACAAGAGUUUAAUCUACAGGUGAGGAUUAUCUUUAGGACUAAAUGAAAUGAUACAGAUUAAAUGCUUAAUACCUAGAAGAUGCCCAACUGAUUUUGGUGCCCAGAACACCACAUCCCAUCUCCAUGUUGAGCUCCUUGCAUCUUCCCAUGGUCCUGGUCCAGCACCCAAUACACCAGGAAUACACAAUAUUUACUAAGCUGGAACACUGGCCCAAAGCCCAGGAGACAUGUCAGUGGUGAUCCCAACUCUUGAAUUCCUCACACUGAAAAACCGGUGAGGAGAGGAGGCCAGAAAGGUUUACUAUUUCCAAGUUAUUUACUCAACAAGUAUCUACUGAAUAUACCAGCUGCCAGACAUCCUGCCAGGUCAGGGGAUAUGGCAGGAGCCUCUUAAACAUGUGAUUAAAGAUGGACGGACGCAGACGGAACACAGCUGCAUGGGAAGGGGCAUGCUGACUGGGAUCUGGCAGAGGACAGACUCGGGGUCAAACGCAAGCUCUGCAACUCACCAGCUCCAUGACUGUGGGUGCACUGUUGAGACACUCAUGGAUUAGACUUGCAGCAACUGUACAGCCGAGUGUUGCACCUCACGGGAAAGCUGAGAUAACGUCUCAAGCACUCAGAACAGUGCCUGGCACGUGAUAAGCAUUCUCUACAUGUUAACUACUGUAAUGAGCACAAUGCCUGGCACACAGUGAGUACACUGACUGCCCAUCACUAUUACUGUUAUUCCAGAAGUUAAACCUGCUUACAGGCCUUAAGCUGGACAGGCGACACCUCCAGAGCAUUUUCUGGGUCCCAGGACCUGCUUCAGGAUUCCCUGAGUGGAGAGACCUCUGGCUGUCACUGUCACCACAUAUCCAGGAGCCACACGAGCCCACAACCACCAGCAGCUGCAGGGGCUGAACUCUUACCUGAGCGGCCGGGAAGCGAUGUUCCUUGUCCAUCUGCGCUGCAACGGGAACCAGCUCCCUCUCUGCAAAGUCCCGGCACGUUUGACGCAGCAUCUGGGAUGAUUUCCCCUCCAGCAGAUACAUGGCAAUGUCUAGAGACAUUUUUGGUUGUUGCACACAACUGAACAGUGGAAUGCUACUGGUACAGAAUGGAUGGGGACCAGGAAGACUGCUGAACAUGCCACAAUGUACAGGGCAGGCCCCACAACAAAGAAUACCAGCCCAAAACAUCUGCAGUGCCGCUGGUGAGAAACCCACACUAACUGAAUGCCUCCUGUGCUUGCUAAACACUUUGCAUACAACCAUCCCCCUCAAAGUCAGUGUGACACCAAUAAAAAGGGGCCAACUGAGUUUGGCAGGGCUGCAAGUCUUGCCCAAGGUCACGGAUGCUGAGUCUGGGUUCAAUCCAGGGCUGGCUCCGGAGGAAGGGCGCCCCGAACCUCCGCUGCGGGAGGAAGGAGGGGAGGCGACGCGGCCAAGCGGUGAGAACUGGGCUGGGCGUGUGGGUCAGAGUAGGAGCUGAGGCCGCGCAGGCGCGAUGAGCGGCCGAACUGGGGCAAAGGCCGCGCGCAUUGCCGGCGGUGGGGAGGGCCGCCCGUCCGCCCGCGGCGGGGAGAACCAGGCCUGGGGGGGCCCACGGCCGCUGUGC
Manis pentadactyla (Chinese pangolin) is the source of this 2018-nucleotide long non-coding RNA. RefSeq lists it as uncharacterized. The record is from RefSeq and is a predicted model, not a curated record. The transcript is spliced from 3 exons. Lineage: Eukaryota; Metazoa; Chordata; Mammalia; Pholidota; Manidae.